ACCGGUGCAGGGACUGUCCCCGCCGGGCAUCUGUGCCCGCUUCGCCUGCGAGCCGGGGCCGGGGCUGCGCGAGCGGCGCGGGACGCUGGGCGGGGAGGGCGCGGCCAUGGCUGGGGACGGGGCGGAGGAGGAAGAUGAGGAGGGGGAAAUGCUGGCGGGGCCCCCGCCGCAGCCCAAUGGCUUCCUCCCGGGGAAGGAGGCCGAGCGCGGCAGCCCCGCGGCCGGGGCGGAUGCUGGGGCGCUCCCGGAGGCGCAGGCCAUGCUGCCUGCCCCGGGCUCGGGCUCGGGCCCGGGCGCGGCGCGGGCGCCCAUCCGGCUCUCCUGGCGCAGGCUGGCGGUGCUGGCCGUGUUCAGCCUCUACUCGCUGGUGAACGCCUUCCAGUGGAUCCAGUACAGCAUCCUGAGCAGCGUCUUCGUGCGCUUCUACCGCGCCUCCUACACCCGCGUGGACUGGCUCUCCCUGGUCUACAUGGUGGCCUACGUGCCGCUCAUCCUGCCGGCCACCUGGCUGCUGGACACCCGCGGCCUGCGCCUCACCGCCCUGCUGGGCUCCGGCCUCAACUGCCUGGGCGCCUGGCUGAAGUGCGCCAGCGUCCGGCAGGAGCUCUACCCGCUCACCCUGCUGGCCCAGACCGUGUGCGCGGUGGCCCAGGUCUUCAUCCUGGGGCUGCCCUCCCGCAUCGCCGCUGUCUGGUUUGGGCCCAAGGAGGUGUCCACUGCCUGCGCUGUAGCCGUGCUGGGCAACCAGCUUGGCACGGCAAUUGGCUUCUUGUUACCACCAGUUUUGGUUCCAAACACAGUUGAUGAUAUUGAUCUAAUGGGGCAUAAUAUCAGCAUCAUGUUCUAUGGAACAGCAGCAGUAUCCACACUUUUAUUCUUAUUAACGGGAGUUGUGUUUGAUGAAAAGCCUAAAUUUCCUCCAAGCCAGGCUCAAGCUGUUCUCCAGGACAUUCCUCCUGAAGAUUACUCUUAUAAACAAUCAAUAAUUAACCUGUUCAGAAAUAUUCCUUUUGUGCUUUUGCUGAUCAGUUAUGGUAUGAUGACUGGGGCAUUUUAUUCUGUCUCCACAUUAUUGAACCAAAUGAUAGUAACACAUUAUCCGGGAGAAGAAGUGAAUGCUGGGAGGAUUGGCUUGACACUGGUGGUAGCAGGAAUGGUGGGUUCCAUUAUUUGUGGUUUGUGGCUGGAUUACACCAAAACAUACAAACAGACUACUUUAAUCGUUUACAUUCUCUCAUUUGUUGGAAUGACCAUAUUUACUUUCACCUUGGACAUUGGAAACCUUGUAAUAGUGUUUGUGACUGGAGGAGUGCUUGGCUUCUUCAUGACAGGUUAUCUCCCACUUGGCUUUGAGUUUGCUGCGGAAAUUACAUACCCAGAGUCUGAAGGCACUUCAUCAGGACUCCUUAAUGCUUCAGCACAGAUAUUUGGGAUUCUCUUUACGCUGGUUCAAGGAAAGCUCAUAACAGAUUAUGACCCUCGUGCGGGAAAUCUUUUCCUCUGUGCGUGGAUGUUUGUAGGCAUUAUUUUAACAGCCUUAAUCAAAUCUGAUUUGCGGAGACACACUGUAAAUUCUGGGAUUUUGAACACAGAUAUUAAAGCUUUUUCUUGACCUUCAAGGAAAUGAAGAUGCCUUUGUGAAGUCUUACUGUAACAGCAUCUAUCACACAGUUUUCUGCCUACUUUAGGUACCAGUUGACAGUCCUACAGAUCAUGAAAAGAAUAACACUGUGUUAAAAAACCAGUCCGAAUCAGCCAUGUGAGGCAGAUGGAAAAAACCUCUAGAAAUGCACAAGUUUCAUGAAAUAGUGAACUGCACUGAUUAGCAUAAUCACUGGAUUUGUAUGUAUGAGUAGUACGAAUUUUGUUAGACUAUUGGUGUGAGUCGUGCAGUAUUACUGAAUGAAGAUGCACAAUUCAUUUUGCCUGAGGCAUAAACGGUUUUAACUUUAUAUUGAAUAUUUAUCAUAGCGUUUUUCAAAUUUGGUAGUCUCAUUGGUAAAGGUUUCUUUGAUUGUUGUCCACUCUCCUGAAAGCAGUGCAUGCUCAGAACCUUAUGGUAAAGAAACUUGCAUCUCAAAAUAUAAAUGUCAUAACAAAUGGCCAGUAAGUUUUUAAUGAAGUCAAUACAUUUGGUUAAUUCAUUUGCCCAAAGUCAUACUUUCCUAAUGCACAAUCCAUUACUGGGGAGAAAGGGACCGAGCAGACACACAACUGAAAGGGAUUGAUAUUUUAGCAGUAUUUUUAAUAUAAAUGUGUUGCAAAUUUUAAACCAGUCCUUCUGUUUGAGGGAUUCUGUCUUUAGCACAAUACAUAGAACAAGAAAAUAAAUACAAAUUUGCAGGCAUGAAUGUGUCAGUGAGUGAAAUCUGAAGCUUUAAUUGCCUUGGGGAAAACCACAGUAUAUGAAACUUGUUGUUCCUCAAUACAGGCAAGAGGAAAGACUUUCUGCAUAAAUUCAUCAUAAUACUUACAGUGGAGACCUAAUAGUGAUCUAUUGAAUUUUGAAACACUUUUACAAAGGUAAAGUGUUCAUAGGCAAUGGAGUGCUAUGACUUGAUAUACCUCCAUCAAAUGCUUUGAAUGCUACUCUAGAUAGCUGAUGUGAGAUGAGUACAUGUUUACAAAAAGAUUGUGCCUUUAUUGCUGAACGUUGUAAACAAGAGCCUUGGCUCCAUCUAAGUUAUAUCUGUGUUGUCUUACGUUGUUGUGGAAAUUCCAUUGUACGUGUUUAAACACCUCCUCUGUGUAUUUGCUGACUUAACAGAAAAUGUCUUCCAUCCUUACCAUGUCUCUGCAUCAUGAACUGUAAUGAUAGUCUCUAGUUAAAUGCUUGUGUUUAUCAUGUAACUUGCAAACAGCUUGCUUAGAAGUAAAACACAUUUGUCCUUCAGCUUUAAACAAAUUGUGAAAGGGAAGUGCUUCACAGCAUCAGCUGGAGCAUCUGCUCUUUGUACUAUGGGUCAUAAAUAAGGUUGAUUUUGUCACAGUGAUCAUGGAAAUCAUGAAUUUGAAUAAAGUCUGUGAAA
Molecule: RNA transcript, 3029 nt
Organism: Mauremys mutica (yellowpond turtle)
Lineage: Eukaryota; Metazoa; Chordata; Testudines; Geoemydidae
Gene: FLVCR1
Gene name: FLVCR heme transporter 1
Exons: 11
Source: RefSeq, a predicted model, not a curated record